UUCUAAACAUUACAUUUUAGGUAGGUGCUUGUUAAUCGUGUAUCGUGUCUUAAAAUUUGUGAGUUACAAAAGCGUUUAUUUUGAAUACCAGAAUUAGAACAGAACAUAUAAACAAGUGGAACAAAUAUGUACUUAUAAUAGUUAAUGUUUGAAUUUAUGCUCAGAUAUCUAGUCACCGACACUUUCUUGGAAUAUUUUUUGUGAUAAACAUAAUAGAACGUUACAUACGCUUCGAGUUGUUAUGUAAUAAAUGUUACGAUGAAGUCGGUUGAACAAUGGUUUCAAAAUGGAUAAGAACCCCUCAUUAAAUACAAGUUUAUAAAUAAUAAAAAACGAAGGAAACUGUCCGUGUUGGCCAUUACUAAUAUUAGUAAUUCUUGUUCCAUGAGCUACGGCGCCUGGUAGUCGGGAUGGUGUUUGCUUAUCUAAUUCGACCACGCUUUAAGUAUUGUGUAAAACCAUUAUCCACUAUGGAUUUAUGGUUAUUAUGAUAAAAAAUUGAAAAUAAUAAUAAAUAGUAACUUAGCAA
Bombyx mori (domestic silkworm) is the source of this 529-nucleotide long non-coding RNA. RefSeq lists it as uncharacterized. The record is from RefSeq and is a predicted model, not a curated record. NCBI's taxonomy places the organism in Eukaryota, Metazoa, Arthropoda, Insecta, Lepidoptera, Bombycidae. The transcript is spliced from 4 exons.